GAGAAAACUUACCAACCGCGCCAGCCCAUGAGACCCCAUGUCCAGCCGGAGGAAACGCCUGCUAGCUGCCAGCUGGACCGCUCACACCAGCACGAUUGGACAAGACCAUCUCCUCAGGGAGCUGCCAGACAGUCCUCUGCAGGAUCUAUGGCUUCCAGCUCGGCAGAAGAGCCCGGGACAGAGGCCAGCACUGAUGAGAAGGCACCUGUCAGUCCUCACAACCAACACUCAUCCUGCAGCUCGAGCAGCGCAGGCACUUCUACACAGCUACAAAAUUCCCUUUCGGGGGGUCUGGAAAAGUUUGGUAUAUCUUAGAUCACGAUUUCAAGCCCUAUCACCGCAAUAUCCUUGUUACCUUCUCACAGCCCCGCCCUGAGAGAGGAAAUACCACAUCAACAUACAGACAGAGCACAAGCCACCAGUCCAGGUUAUUCCAGUUGCAGCGGAGCCUCUGCUCCCCAAAAUGCCCUUCCCCAGCUGCCUGAUGGAUCUUUGGGGGGGGGGGGGGGGGAACAGGGGGGUGAACAUGAUCCUAACUUUCAGCACUCAAUUUAAGCCGAUUAACACACCUGAUCUGCGUUACAGCGGUUUUAAUUAGCACCUUGAGCAUGAAGGUGAAUCAGAGUCCCCUAAAAUCCAUGGAAGACCUCAGCAACUGCGGAAACUGCUCAGGAUUAUGAAGCCAAGCACGGUCAUAGGGGAAAAACAACACGCCGAUGGUAGCAGCCCCAUUUGUUUGUCAUGGCCAUAAGCAAGUAUUCAAAGUUGGGCACAAAGGAUCUCAAACACCUGUGUAUUUACAUAUUAACAGCAGGAAAUCAAGCAAUGGCUUAGAAUAAACUGGCCAGGAUUUCUGU
Long non-coding RNA from Tyto alba (common barn owl), 857 nucleotides. RefSeq lists it as uncharacterized. The transcript is spliced from 2 exons. The record is from RefSeq and is a predicted model, not a curated record. Lineage: Eukaryota; Metazoa; Chordata; Aves; Strigiformes; Tytonidae.